Molecule: non-coding RNA, 165 nt
Filed under: uncultured Roseburia sp.
Lineage: Bacteria; Bacillati; Bacillota; Clostridia; Lachnospirales; Lachnospiraceae
Source: RNAcentral
UUGGAAGAAUAUUAGAAAAUCUUAGUAUGCCUGAACUUCCACAGUGAUGCUCUGCCAUGGAUGGCAGAACAAGGCUUCACGAGCCAUGGAGGGCUCGUUGAAUGCCGGUCACGUCACUACAAAAUAACCUUCUCCAGGCAUACUUAGACUUUUCUUAUAUUCGCA